RNAcentral lists this non-coding RNA (97 nucleotides) under human oral metagenome. Its description in RNAcentral is "SAM riboswitch (S box leader)". It matches the Rfam family "SAM riboswitch aptamer (S box leader)". Rfam says of the family: The SAM riboswitch is found upstream of a number of genes which code for proteins involved in methionine or cysteine biosynthesis in Gram-positive bacteria. The SAM riboswitch acts at the level of transcription termination control. The record is from RNAcentral.
UAUCCAGAGUGCGACGAGGGACUGGCCCAAUGACUCGCCAGCAACCUGCUCGGGAAGCGAGUAAGGUGCUAAUUCCAGCCUGUGCGCAGGGAAGAUA